GCGGGGCCCCGGGGUCUCGGCGGGGCGGGUCCGAGGGCGGCGGCGGGGUCCCCGGGGGUGUCGGCGGGUCCGAGGGCGGCGGCGCGGGGUCCCCGGGGUGUCGGCGGGUCCGAGGGCGGCGGCGCGGGGUCCCCGGGGUGUCGGCGGGUCCGAGGGCGGCGGCGCGGGCUCGCGGGCUCUCGGGCUCCCGGCGCCGCCCGACGUCACUUCCGACCGGAGCCAAGAUGGCGUCGGCGCGGCCGCGGACGCCGGGGCGGGCGGAGCGGCGGCAGCGGCGGCGCGGGCGGCGGCUCUCGGCGCUGUGAGGCGCGGGGCGCGGCGGGCGCAGGUAAGGGGGGCGGAGGCGGCGGAGGCGGCGGGGCCGGGCGGGCUCCGGGACGGCGGCGGGGUGGGCGCCGGGACGCCCGUCCCUGCCCGCGAGGAGCGAGGCGGCGGCGGGGGCGACCCGCGGGGACCGGGCGGGCGGGCGGACGCGCCCCCUCGGAGCGGCCGGGCGGGGGGGGGGGUGGAUCUCGGAGCCGGGCUCGGGCCCCCGCGGCCCCCCGCGCCCCGGACCGGCCUCGGGGCCGCCGCCGCCAAGUUGUGCGGGGCGCUUUGUGGCGGUUGGGUCGCCGCGCGCCCGGCGGGGGGAGGGGCGGGGUCGGGGUCGGGGUCGGGGUCGGGGUCAGGGGCGGGGCGGGACCCGGGUCGGGGUCGGGUCGGGGUCGGGGGCGGGGCGGGACCCGGGUCGGGGUCGGGUCGGGGUCGGGGCCGGGGCGGCGGCGGGUCCCGGGCGGUGGGCGCGGGCGGGGUUCGUCCGGGGCCGCCCCUCCUCGGCAGCCGCCGCGCUCCCCUCUUUUGUGCCGGGCGCGGGCGUGUGUCGCCCACUUGGCAUUCCUGACGCGUCGCGUGCCUUUGCGCCUUUUGUGUUUAUUCCCCGAGAGUUGCGCGCCCCGAGGCUGGAGGUGGCCCCCGCCCCGCGCCCCCGUCGCGGACCCCGGGGUUUUGCUCGCGGGGAGCCGCCGCGCGCUCGCGGAUGGACCUUUGGCUACCGGAGCCGCCUACGCGCCUACCCUUGGGGGGCCGGUGGGACCCGUGGGACCCGAAGCAGCCGAAGCACCCCUGCCUGCCGCGCGGAGGACCCCCAGCGACCCCGCUGACCCGCGGAGCCCGGCCGGGCGCUCGGGUCGGGCCCCGUGGGGCGCGGAGCCCGGAUUCCUGGACGCAGCUGUAACCCCCCGAGAAAGGGCAUUUACGCCGCGCCCCCCCCCCCCCCCAGCCUUCCAUUCAGUGUUGUGCUGGGGUUGGUUUUACUUCAUUAGUUUUAUUGCAGGCGCCUCGGGGAGGUCCCAGGCGGCCCUCGGGCCCCUUCCAUCGGACGCUGAAAUGGUCGCACCCACAACGCGGCCGAAAUCUCUCCAAGUUUUUGUUGACUACAGGGUCUAA
This 1425-nucleotide long non-coding RNA is filed under the name Canis lupus dingo (dingo). RNAcentral's name for it is "lncRNA (ENSCAFG00020004744.1)". The record is from RNAcentral. Lineage: Eukaryota; Metazoa; Chordata; Mammalia; Carnivora; Canidae.